RNAcentral lists this ribosomal RNA (253 nucleotides) under uncultured bacterium. RNAcentral's name for it is "partial 16S ribosomal RNA". It matches the Rfam family "Bacterial small subunit ribosomal RNA", at positions 524 to 776 of the family's 1533-position model. The record is from RNAcentral.
UACAGAGGGUGCAAGCGUUGCUCGGAAUCAUUGGGCGUAAAGGGCAAGUAGGUGGUCUCAUUUGUCUCGUGUGAAAGCCUUGGGCUUAACCCAAGAAGUGCGCGAGAAACGGUGAGACUCGAGUUCUGGAGAGGGUCGUGGAAUUCCAGGUGUAGCGGUGAAAUGCGUAGAUAUCUGGAGGAACACCGGUGGCGAAGGCGGCGUUCUGGACUGUUUCUGACACUGAAUAACGAAAGCCAGGGGAGCAAACGGG